RNAcentral lists this long non-coding RNA (2295 nucleotides) under Sorghum bicolor (sorghum). RNAcentral's name for it is "long non-coding RNA (SBIC_LNC013913)". Lineage: Eukaryota; Viridiplantae; Streptophyta; Magnoliopsida; Poales; Poaceae. The record is from RNAcentral.
GCCGGCCUCUUCUCUAAUCCUCCUUCGCUCUCCAUCUCGCUACUAUCUAGAUCUACUCUAGUUUAGAGAAGAGAGGAGAGCUCUCAUCUCUAAACCCUAGCUUUUGCUCUGUCUAUGAAUAAUGAAUAAUGAUCAAGGGGUGCCUCCUCCAGGGGCUAGGGGGUCUGGUUAUAUAGUCCCCUCAAGUGAACCUGGGCCGUCGGAUCAAACCGACAUUAAUUGAACGGUUAUUCUUGAUCCUUUAGGUCGGUGGAGCGUAAUCCCCGAAGAGAGUCCAGAUUGGACUCUGUAGCUGGGCGGGCGCCCAAGGGGGGUGGGCGGGCGCCUUGCCCCCGAGCCCGCUCGGCCUCCCGUUCGUUCCCGUGGCUUCUGGAGUCUUCUAGAUGUAAGAUAAUUGCGCGGGACGUUGAUAUCUCUAUGUAAUCCCGACGUGUGGGCCUUUCUUCCUUAUUUCCUGAUAACCCCCUGCAGAAAUAGACAAACACCAAAACUUGUGGAAUUCUGUCAGAUAAAACCCUAAGUUUAGAUGUUGGUUGUAUUUGGAUCCUUUUCUUAGUUUAUUUGCUGAUUAUAUUUGGUACUUAAGGACCGUCAACAACUCCCCCAAGCUUACCUCUUGCUCGUCCCUGAGCAAGGAUGGACUCAAGAGUUUCUACAGUGGUUUUAUGCCUUAAAGUUAUACAUGCGUUUAAACAAGAUCUCAUCUCUAGGUUAGGGUAAAUUGUUAAGAUUUAAAACUUACUCAUAUUACCUUUCACCACGCGGGCUUGCAACCGUCACUUGUGUCUUGAGCAGUUAAAAGAUAGAAUGGUCAAGUCAAGCACCAUGUCUCUUGUUCUUUGAUCAACUAUAGCUCUGGAGUUUUUGCAAAUUUUCAAAUAAAACUCAGAGAUUCCUUGUAUGACUCUCUCUAGUCUCUCUUUUGUGGUAUUUCUAGAUCAUUACCAAGGCAGUGAUAAUAUACGCCUUCUCUCAAAGUAUGUAGUAUUUGUGUUAUGAGGCAUAGUGAUAUUGCCUUCUCUCUCACCCUACUCUAACAAGGUUUGAUAUCUGGAGCUCAUAGGUGGGAAACAGCUAAUAGAUACUUACAAGACAUUUAUUGCAUAGUCAAACCAUGGAUCCAGAGAAACAAGUCAAUAAGUCAAACCAAGAUAUGCAUGUGUGGCGGAUGAAUAGUGUAUGGUGAUGAUAGUGAUAAUGGUGAAAAUAAUGGUGAAAGUCUAAUUCUACUUUUGCUCUUUUGAGGAGAUACAUACCUUUCUUGCACUUUGAAGGUUUUUGAGAGGAAUGAGAUGCUCUAUAUUUUCUUUUUCUUUUCUCUCAGGUGGGUAUCUUGUACCCCUAAUUCUAUUGUCGGACACUUGUCCAUUUUUACCUCUCGUCUCACUUUUUCUCUUUUUCUUUCGAGGUUCCAGGCACUUGCCCCUUUUUAUUUCCUCGUAUUUUUCUUCUUUUUUUCAGAGCACUCACCCUCCUGGAAUAAUGUAGCAAGUGGUAGUAACCAAAAUAACUUGAGCAUUUAUUUCCCAGGGAAAAAUAGGAAUGGGAUAAUGUUUUUGGCUAUUCUCUCCCGGAUAGGAGUAGAAUAAUUUUGGGUGAAUCUGGAGAUGGAAAUUUGUGGAUGUAUGUGGAUGCAUACUUCCGGAGUAGAAGCAACAUGUAUGAGUGGGCGUGCAAGUGAAUCUUGAUUAUAACCGCAUGACAAGCUCCUAAGGGUCUACAUAGCUUGACCACACUCAAUGAUCAUAAGCAGUAAAAAGUAAAUGUAUGGUUCAUAGUCUAAUAGGCAUGUAUAUAUAGCUGUGGUAGGAUUUUAAACUCUCAUCAUACAGGAACUCAUCAUGCAACAUUUUAAAUAUUUUCAAAGAUAAAAUUCUCCAGAUUUCUAGCAUCUCUAGGAACAGAUAAACAGCAGUUCAACCUUCCCAUAUCAUAUCUGUUAACGACAUAGACUUCAGAUCAAGUACUCUUCCCACAAGUUCAGGUUUUAGAGCAAAUUUUAAUUCAUAACAGUCAUACCUAAACUUGAGAGAGAUUUCACUUUUGAGAACUAGUCAUGGCAGAGCAACUAUUCAUCAUUUCCAUGUGAGAGCUUAUCAUGACGGUUCAUAGCAAACUUUAUUUGUUUAUUUAUUUAGCAAACUAAGAAAAGAUAUAUAUAUAUAAGCCUAAAAUCUUUAUUUGGGUUUUUAUGAUUAUGCAUCUUUUUAUUAUUUUAACAAAGUAUAAGUAUAAACGUAGAUAGAAAUACUUAGCUGGAUAAAUGGGGGUUGUAACACCCCAGUGUUAUGGUUG